This 437-nucleotide ribosomal RNA is filed under the name Variovorax sp. RNAcentral describes it as "bacterial SSU rRNA". It matches the Rfam family "Bacterial small subunit ribosomal RNA", at positions 20 to 459 of the family's 1533-position model. The record is from RNAcentral. Lineage: Bacteria; Pseudomonadati; Pseudomonadota; Betaproteobacteria; Burkholderiales; Comamonadaceae.
UGGCUCAGAUUGAACGCUGGCGGAAUGCUUUACACAUGCAAGUCGAACGGCAGCACGGGGGCAACCCUGGUGGCGAGUGGCGAACGGGUGAGUAAUACAUCGGAACGUGCCCGAUCGUGGGGGAUAACGUAGCGAAAGCUACGCUAAUACCGCAUACGAUCUACGGAUGAAAGCGGGGGAUCGCAAGACCUCGCGCGAACGGAGCGGCCGAUGGCAGAUUAGGUAGUUGGUGGGGUAAAGGCUCACCAAGCCUGCGAUCUGUAGCUGGUCUGAGAGGACGACCAGCCACACUGGGACUGAGACACGGCCCAGACUCCUACGGGAGGCAGCAGUGGGGAAUUUUGGACAAUGGGCGAAAGCCUGAUCCAGCCAUUCCGCGUGCAGGAUGAAGGCCUUCGGGUUGUAAACUGCUUUUGUACGGAACGAAACGGCCUUUU